RNAcentral lists this transfer-messenger RNA (369 nucleotides) under Candidatus Lumbricidiphila eiseniae. Its description in RNAcentral is "Lumbricidophila eiseniae Standard tmRNA". It matches the Rfam family "transfer-messenger RNA". Rfam says of the family: Bacterial tmRNA, also known as 10Sa RNA or SsrA, is named for its dual tRNA and mRNA-like properties. Its role is to liberate the mRNA from a stalled ribosome. The record is from RNAcentral. Lineage: Bacteria; Bacillati; Actinomycetota; Actinomycetes; Micrococcales; Microbacteriaceae.
GGGGAUGAUCGGUUUCGACAUCGCCUGCGAACCCACGAGAAGCGGGCCGAGGAUGCAGGGUUAUCUCGCAAACGAUCUCUGCACAAUAUAAGUGCCAACGCAAAGCGCACUGACUUCGCCCUCGCCGCAUAGGCGAGCCCGAUAGUCCGUCAGCCCGGGUUUGUUUCCGCCCCGGUCGCUGGCGUCAUCUAGGGAACUUGCUGCACGUCGUCGCCUGAGCGACGUGCGGGACUUUAUUCAGGCUGGACCCGUCGACUUAGGUGCCUGUGGCAAAGGUCGGGGCCGAGUAGAACGCCAACACAGGCUGCGCCCGGAGAAGGCGUGGAAUCACAGCGAUGGACGGGGGUUCAAUUCCCCCCAUCUCCACCA